UUCUUCACGCCGAUUUCAUUUUCAUUUUCUUUCAUUUUCUUUUCUUUUUAUUUUCAUUUUACUUGGCAUUUUGGGGAUUAAAUGAAUGAGCACAACAAAGGAGAAUACUAAGGUGGAGAAAUCAAGUUCAAGCCACAAAAAAGGGUAUGAGAAGUUCGAAAUCAAGAGAAGAGAAUACUGAAAUAGUGAAUGCACUUUCAAGUAAUGGUGAGGACAGUAGAUUGGAGCCAGAGUCUCCAAUCGGUUGAAAGGCUUUUCUUCUUCAAAUCAUCAUCAGGUGAUUGACCAGAUGCAUAUAUGAGCAUUGAGUCGAUGAUCAUCCAAUACUUCUACAUGCCCCUGCAGUAAUUAGUUUGCAAAAUAUACUUCAUGACCAUUCAUAUAUAUAAUACACACACACACACAUUAACUAAUAUAUUACCUUCAAUAGACUUAAUUAAAUGUUUGAAGGGUAAGGUGUGUACUAUACGUUCACAAUUGUGCAAUAUACUUUAACUGAAGAUGCUCUUUUAGAAAUA
Olea europaea var. sylvestris is the source of this 518-nucleotide long non-coding RNA. RefSeq lists it as uncharacterized. Lineage: Eukaryota; Viridiplantae; Streptophyta; Magnoliopsida; Lamiales; Oleaceae. The transcript is spliced from 2 exons. The record is from RefSeq and is a predicted model, not a curated record.